Molecule: long non-coding RNA, 984 nt
Organism: Panthera uncia (snow leopard)
Lineage: Eukaryota; Metazoa; Chordata; Mammalia; Carnivora; Felidae
Exons: 3
Source: RefSeq, a predicted model, not a curated record
GGACGAGCUGGGCGGGCGAGGAGACGGGCUGUGCGGAGCUGUGUUUGGGAACCUUGGGAGUUCAGGAACCAGCCAGCCCACAGUUUCACGGACAUGAGUUCUUUGAGAAGGUCACGAAAGCCCCGCCCUGUCUCCCCAGAAAACGGCUGCCUAUAAUUGCAGGGGGUUCAAGCUCACGGUUUCCCGGGACAUUUGUGCAGAUGAAAUUGAUCAGCGGCAGGAGGAAGAUAGCUGUUGCCUAGGCAACCAGCCGAUGACUCAUCCUGGCUUUGAAGCAGCAAAAGCCAUGAGCCUGCAGUAAUUUUCCAGAUGCUUAACCUGUCCUCCUCCUUCUCUGUCUUUCUUUGUUUUCCUCUCUCCAUCCUUCAUUUCUUUCUGCACCCUCACUUCCCCGGGUCCUCCUUAAACUUGACACUGAGUGCUGCAGGAUCUCUGCAGGGGGUGGGUAUAGGGGGUGGUCCUGAGCUCCCCAGAGCAGUUUUGUGGACCUCAUCCCACCAGUAAUAGGUGGCUUUCCCUGCUGCUGCUCCUUAUGUCUCCUAACCGGGAAAUGGCCAGGCUGUCACCGUCGGUGCUGCAGAGCCCCCAAGAUGCUGCUUGUUGCCCUUGAUCAGAGAACCUCAAGUGAACCCGGCACUUUUUCUUUGAAUCUAAACUAAACGGAGCACACCCCUCUAUCUCAGAGAUCUGCAGUGUUCCUUUGAGGACAGACAGUUAUCCUGUGGGCCUCCCAAGCCAAGUUGCGCCAGUGACGUUUACAGGCGACAGAGGCCACCGUUGGCAGCUCUCUGGAUGCUGGGUUUUCCCAUCCUCCUUCGCUGACGUUCCCCACUCCUCGUCUUGUGUCUGAUGUUCCAGGCCCUUCUUAAUUAGCCAUCGCAAUCGUCUCUACAACGCGGAGUAUAGAAGCUUGAACCGUUCCCCUUCCAAAAGCAUUUUCAUUUUAACAAGGUUUUCAGAAGCAAAAUAUUUUAAAACUCAGGG